Oreochromis aureus is the source of this 1926-nucleotide long non-coding RNA. The record is from Ensembl. Lineage: Eukaryota; Metazoa; Chordata; Actinopteri; Cichliformes; Cichlidae.
GCUAGCAGCUCUGUAGGUGGACAGUUUCAUUUUUGGGCUAAUGUAAAAAUUCUUGCUGAUGUUUCCUGUUGUUUAGAAGUUGAUGCUGCUCACAGAUAAACAUGACUAUUUUCAGCCUUUAGUCAGCUUUUGCUGCCAGAAUUUUCCUGAUGUGAUGAAACGCUGAAAACAUCUGGAGUUGGUGAAGACCAGUGUUGGAUCAGAGAUGGAGAAGGCCUUACCAGUGCAGCUGCUGGAAAUGUUGAACAAUUUGGGAGAGGAGGAGCUGAAGCUUUUCCACUUUUACCUGAAGUAUGAACCUGGAGGUGAUUUCCCAACCAUCUAUAAGUGCCAGCUGGAGAACGCAGACAGACUGAAAACAGUAGAUGUGAUGAUUAAGGCAUAUUCAGACCGUGUGAUGGAGGUGGCAAGGUUGAUUUUAGAGAAGAUGAAUGAAGGAAGUCCCUCAGCCCAGGCAGCUUCAUCACUUUCAUCAGAAGUUGGGGCUGGAUCUAAGAGACUAAGGGACGGUUCAGUAGGAUGGCAGACUCCCCAGGUGGAGCACCUUCAAGCACCCCGCCCAGGGACUCCAAGAAGACCGGUCCCCCAGGUGGAGGUGGAUUCAGGGGUGGAGUCUGUCCAGCUACCCUGCAAAACCACACUUCACCUGCCUCAAGAAGCCAAAGUUGAGUGGACAGACAGAAACCACAUGAAGGUCCACGUGUAUGAGAACAGAUUUGACCAGCCUGAAGAACAGGAUGGUCGUUACAGGGACCGAACGAAGAUGAAUGAAGACCUGCUGAAAACUGGAGACCUCAGUCUGACCCUGAAAUACCCCACAGAUGGAGACAACCACACCUACACUUGCACCGUCUACAGCAGGGAGGGAAACAUCCUGAUGAAGAAACAAGUGGAGCUGAAAGUCAGAGACUGUCAGGUGGAGGUGAAGGAGGGGGCGGAGUCUGUCCAGCUGCCCUUCAAGGCCACACACAACCUGCCCGAAAAUGCUACAAUAGUGUGGGAACGUACUGAAUCUAAACGAUCGAUGAUGGUCCACGUGUAUGAGAACGGCUCCGACGAGCCUCACAGACAGGACCAGGUUUACAGAGACCGAACGAAGAUGAAUGAAGACCUGCUGAAAACUGGAGACCUCAGUCUGACCCUGAAACACCCCACAGAGAGAGACAGUGGAAGAUACAUCUGUGGAGUCUACAGCAGGACGAUCUACAGACAGAAUGCUGUGCUGCUCAAAGUCACAGGGAGAGUUCAGGUCCAGGAUCAAACAGGGGACAUCAGGAACAGAAGCAGCUCCAUUGAUCCGACUCCUCUGAUGGCUGAUCAAUCAGUUUGAUCUGUGUGUUCUUUGAUUAUUGAUCAGUGAUGUCAGAGUGGAGUCAGUGUGAUGUUGUUGUUGUGUGUUUGAGACUUUUAGUGUCCAUGAAGGUCUCUGCUGCCGUAGAUCCUCUGAACUGUGACAGAGGUCUCACUCUGGAGGAAACUCUCAGCACUUUCCAGCAGCUCCUCCAUCAUGGAGGACGUUCCCUCACUGUAACAGGUGGAGGAGAGAGGAGAGGAAGCACAGGUGGAUCCUCUGAGGAAGAGGAGCGUUCCUACAAACCACAUGAGUGUAACAGUUGUAUGUAUUAAAGUAUGUUGAGCUGAUGUAUUUAGAGCCAUGAAUGUUUCUCUCUGUCCGAUUAGAUCACCAUGUUAACUGAUGCUGACUAUCACCUGUUGUGGAGACAUUUUGGAUUUUUUUCACUUGCAGAUUUAAGGCAGGUUUAAGAACUGUUGUUUUUGUAAAGUGAAAUAAGACUGAUGCGCCUCCAUAAGACACUGUAGAGGGUUUCUGGGGCAGUGACAUGAACACUUUGUCGUUAUUUAUACUGCCAUGUUUUCCUGUAACACAAACCACAGCACGCUGAAUAUGAAUAAACUGCAUCUGUG